RNAcentral lists this transfer RNA (71 nucleotides) under Microbulbifer sp. ZGT114. It matches the Rfam family "tRNA". Rfam says of the family: Transfer RNA (tRNA) molecules are approximately 80 nucleotides in length. Their secondary structure includes four short double-helical elements and three loops (D, anti-codon, and T loops). Further hydrogen bonds mediate the characteristic L-shaped molecular structure. tRNAs have two regions of fundamental functional importance: the anti-codon, which is responsible for specific mRNA codon recognition, and the 3' end, to which the tRNAs corresponding amino acid is attached (by aminoacyl-tRNA synthetases). tRNAs cope with the degeneracy of the genetic code in two manners: having more than one tRNA (with a specific anti-codon) for a particular amino acid; and 'wobble' base-pairing, i.e. permitting non-standard base-pairing at the 3rd anti-codon position. Lineage: Bacteria; Pseudomonadati; Pseudomonadota; Gammaproteobacteria; Cellvibrionales; Microbulbiferaceae. The record is from Rfam by way of RNAcentral.
AAGCAUUUAGCUCAGAUGGUAGAGCGUUGAUCCUAUAGUCAAUGGCGCUGGUUCGAUUCCGGCAAUGUUUC